RNAcentral lists this ribosomal RNA (596 nucleotides) under uncultured bacterium. Its description in RNAcentral is "bacterial SSU rRNA". It matches the Rfam family "Bacterial small subunit ribosomal RNA", at positions 102 to 694 of the family's 1533-position model. The record is from RNAcentral.
ACGGGUGAGUAAAGCAUCGGAACGUACCCAGUCGUGGGGGAUAACGUAGCGAAAGUUACGCUAAUACCGCAUACGUCCUGAGGGAGAAAGCGGGGGACCGUAAGGCCUCGCGCGAUUGGAGCGGCCGAUGUCGGAUUAGCUUGUUGGUGAGGUAAAAGCUCACCAAGGCGACGAUCCGUAGCUGGUCUGAGAGGACGACCAGCCACACUGGGACUGAGACACGGCCCAGACUCCUACGGGAGGCAGCAGUGGGGAAUUUUGGACAAUGGGGGAAACCCUGAUCCAGCCAUGCCGCGUGAGUGAAGAAGGCCUUCGGGUUGUAAAGCUCUUUCGGACGGAAAGAAAUCGCACGGAUAAAUAGUCCGUGUGGAUGACGGUACCGUAAGAAGAAGCACCGGCUAACUACGUGCCAGCAGCCGCGGUAAUACGUAGGGUGCGAGCGUUAAUCGGAAUUACUGGGCGUAAAGCGUGCGCAGGCGGUUGCAUAAGACAGAUGUGAAAUCCCCGGGCUCAACCUGGGAACUGCGUUUGUGACUGUGCGACUGGAGUACGGUAGAGGGGGGUGGAAUUCCUGGUGUAGCAGUGAAAUGCGUAGA